AUCUUUGCGCUUGGGGCAAUGACGCAGCUAAUGAGGUACUAACCGAGGCGCGUCUAUUGCUGGUUGAAAACUAUUUCCAAACCCCCUCCUGGGUCUGAGCUUGUCUUGGGCCUUCGAGAAUUUCUGGAAGGGCUCCCUUCGGGGUAAAGCC
This is a non-coding RNA of Brassica rapa (field mustard), 151 nucleotides long. NCBI's taxonomy places the organism in Eukaryota, Viridiplantae, Streptophyta, Magnoliopsida, Brassicales, Brassicaceae. The record is from Rfam.